Molecule: ribosomal RNA, 467 nt
Filed under: uncultured bacterium
Lineage: Bacteria
Description: partial 16S ribosomal RNA
Rfam family: Bacterial small subunit ribosomal RNA
Source: RNAcentral
GACGAACGCUGGCGGCGUGCUUAACACAUGCAAGUCGAACGGAAAGGCCUGCUUUUGUGGGGUGCUCGAGUGGCGAACGGGUGAGGAACACGUGAGUAACCUGCCCUUGACUUUGGGAUAACUUCAGGAAACUGGGGCUAAUACCGGAUAAGAGCUCCUGCUGCAUGGUGGGGGUUGGAAAGUUUCGGCGGUUGGGGAUGGACUCGCGGCUUAUCAGCUUGUUGGUGGGGUAGUGGCUUACCAAGGCUUUGACGGGUAGCCGGCCUGAGAGGGUGACCGGCCACAUUGGGACUGAGAUACGGCCCAGACUCCUACGGGAGGCAGCAGUGGGGAAUAUUGCACAAUGGGCGGAAGCCUGAUGCAGCAACGCCGCGUGCGGGAUGACGGCCUUCGGGUUGUAAACCGCUUUCGCCUGUGACGAAGCGUGAGUGACGGUAAUGGGUAAAGAAGCACCGGCUAACUACGUG